GUCAGGUGGUAGACAUCUUUUGGAGGUCACCAUUUGCACAUUCUGUGAAAAACAUAUUUUUUGGCUAAAAAUAUUUUAGCAUGUGCAGUUCCUAUUAUAAUGUGUCUUAAGUGGGAGAUAGCUCAAGACUAGUGGCUGGUGUAAAAUCUCAAAGGCAGCUACUGUUUGCAAAGAAAGUGCUUCUUAAAGAUAUGUACAAUGGGAAAACAAGCUACUACUAAGCAAAAAUGUGGUUUUCUUUGCCUGCCUAUAUGAGAUGGAGCAUUUUUAAUCGACAAAAGAAAAAAAAGUAUAAUGAAGAAGAUUAUAUAGCAUCAAAGUCUCGAGGAGAACAACUGUUACACAUGGUAUUAGAAGAAGAAAGUCUGAUAUGUUAAACAUGGUUAAUAGCACUCUGGGCAUGUACUCAAGGAAACUGAAGUAUUAGUAUCUAUUUGGAAAAUCAUUUUAACACAGAGUUUUAUUUUAAGGUAUUGUGAUUUGAUUGGUAUUUCAUCAUUUCCUAAUAAUUGUUUUUAAGGCAAAUGUUAUUCAUGUUUUCCAGAACCAUUCUAUUCUUGUUGAUGAAAUUGAUAAAUAUGUUUUUUUUUCUGUAUUUAGCUAUUCAUUUAUUAAAAGAUUGUUUAUUGUAUUAAUGUUCAAAAAAUUAUUAUUAUGGAGAGUGCAAAGCAUUUGUGUUCUUAAUAUUGUCAUAUAUUUUAUAGAGAGGCUUAAAAGUAACUCUUCAGCACUUACUUGUGCAGUCUGCCCUGACUGUAAAGGUUAAGGUAAGGAUAUCAUCUUUAUUAUCUGUUCAGUUUUAUUUCUUUUGGUUUUGUAUAUCGUUUAAUGUGAAUUUAUUAACUCAAUAUGGACCUUCAUGAGAUUUGAAAGUAUGAUUAGAAAAUCAGGUUAGAGAGGUAAUAUUUGUAACAUAAUUUAAGUGUAUGUGAAUUCUUAUUUUAGGUAUUCUUGAAUGUUGAUAAUACUUGACAACAGUAUUGCCCAAGGGUGAUUGUAAUCUGGGUGUAUUAAAAUCCAUUUUGUUUGUCUUUAAGAGAAACUUUAUUCCAUUUAACUUGAAUAAAAAUAUGCUUUCAUUUGCCAUCAGAUUAAUUAAGUUGUCUAAAGAUAUCUUAUAAUACUGUGGAUUCUUCAGGUACAUCACUAGAAAAAUGUAAUGUUUGUUUAUAAGAAGGAUCCAAAAUGCAUACUGAAAUUUUGAAAGACACAGAAACAUUUACAAGAGGAUUGGUACAUUUUUCUGAAACAUCUUGCCCACAAUUAUUUAUUGAGUCAUGCUAGUCUAUUUUCUGCACUUCUAAGGGCAAAAAAAUUCCAGCCAUCACUUUGGUUUUGCAUAAUUUAUACUCAAGCAGGGUUAUCCAGCACUAAUUACCUAUCCCCAUCUUAAUUACCAACUUAACAAUAGAUGACAUCAUACUGACUAAACCUGCACUUUUCCUUCUAAUUUUGUGAGUGGUCAGAAUUUAACUCCUAUAUAUAAAGUACACCUUGCAUCAAGUAUUGGAAACUACAGAGGAUAUGGUCAGUUAUGAUGUCAAUAAAACUAAACUCUGGCUGCUGCUGCACUGGAAAAGCUAAAUCCUACUUAUUGCUAGGUAUAAAACUCCAUGUGUAUAUGUACAAUGCUGAUAUAACCAUUAUUUCUUACAAACUAGUGGACAAAAUGGUCAAGAGUAAUGUUCAAACAAAUGAUAGACUUAACCAGGUAAAUUAUUUGUAUCACAAAUGGCUUCAAAACCUUUGAGGCAAAUUUUAAAAUCUUUUAAACUUUUAAGUUUUCUACUUAUUGAAAUCUCUGAUCUUGCAUUUGCAAUGUUUAUUUCUUUGGAAAUUCCUUAUAGAGUAAAAAUAUAUGCACUUAAAACUUUGAAUGCAAUGUUUCACAAGUUCAGAAAUUAAAUUUCUGCACUUCUAAUUUGACAAAAUCUUGUUAUUAAAUGUCAGAACGUAUGUAUGUACUUCUUGAGAAAAUCCACUCACACAGUGAUGUUUUACAUUCAUUUGAGGUAAAGAUUUGCAAACUUUACAUAACGUUUUUGCUGGAUGAAAGUAUAUAUUUUAAAUUAUAAAAAAGUUUAUAAAGUGCUAGACACUAUUACUGACUUUUCCAAAUCUAAUGAAUUUUUGUCCUCUCAUCCAAAGAAAUUAAAAAGCUUUUAUCCCAUCAAUCACUUGAAUAGUCUUGUAAACUUCAAUAAAAUUUCCUUUUACCUUUCUUUUCUCAAGAGGGAAGAAGUUAACAGUUCUUAACAUAUCCCUCAAGGUAACCCUUUUCCUUGAAUCAACCUAAUAUUCCUCCUCUGGACACUUCACAAAAAGACAAAAGACAGUAUCUUUGCUUAGAUAAAGAGAUAAAAAAUAUAGACAGUAUUUCAAAUUAGGCCUAACUAAUGAUUUCUAUAAAGAAAUAAUUAUGUCUUUUGACUUGCAAUCAAUAUAUCUAUAAAUAAAUCCCAUAAUUCUAUAAAGUUAGCUUUACUAUGAUGACUUGAAUGACUUAUCAAAAUAUUUUUCUCCAGUCAUACUCUUGAGUGGGUUCACAAAUGUUAUCUUGUAUUUACAGUUAUUAAAGACCUCUUGUCAAACAUUCUUCCAUCUUACCAAUUGUAAUACCUCGUCAUCUUCAGUACAGCUAGAAAUACUCAAGAGUUUAAUCAUCAGCAAUGUUUACUAACUGGUGCCACAGCAAUGCUCUGACAGUACUACACUCCUGGUUCAGUGCUUCCUGAGAAGAUGCCCUGGAAAAUUAUGUACCAACAACAGCUGUUUUGUGUUAUAGACUAACACCAAAAGGUGCGUAAAAUAUCAGUGUGCUGGUUGAAUACAAGUUAAAAAUUCCAGAAUAAUUGAGUCAAAUGGAAUUGGCAGGAAUUGAAUAGUUUACUGGUGUUGAACCAAAGGAAAAUAUAUAACGUCUAUUAGAAGGGAGUGACUACUUUACAAACCCAGAAAUAUAUCGUUCUGUUAAAAGAAGAAAAAAACAAAAACGUGGACCGUUACACCAACGGAACAAGAAACCCUGGUGAUAGAGUACACUGUUAUCAAUGCAGUAGGAAAUGUCGUACUCUUUAUGCAAGAAAUACCAAGAAUAUUUCACCAGAGGUGGUCCAAUUGGUUGCAUUGGGUCAGCCAAUGGUUCAGUUUGGAUGAGAAAUGAUUUCUUAAUCUUUGAAAAACAGGUGUAGCCAUCUCUUGACCACAAAGACCUACUAUUUCUAGAUAACCAUGGUAUAAUUCUACUAAGUUUUCUGCCAGUAACAUCUCAUAAACUCCAAUUAUUAGACCAUAUAGUAUAUAGACCACUUAAGAAUUUCAAAACAGCUGCAGAUGCAUGAAUAAGGAAUAAUCCGUGUAGCAGAGUAACAAGAUAUGGCAUUCCUGCCAUCGCUACACGUGCUUUACCACAGGCUACUACACCAAAUAACAUUAUGACUGAGCUUAGGUGUAUCACCUUUUAACAGAGACAUAUUUGACUAAAGUGACUUGGGCGAUGUUUUGGAAUGUAUGAAGAAAUCCUAGAGGAUCAAAAUAUCCCCAUUUCUUUGAAGAAAAACAUCAUGGAUCAGUGUGUACUACCAACCUUUACAUAUGGCUGUCAAACAUGGGCUUUAACAAAAGAGAUAAGGAAAAAGAUAGAAACUACACAAAGAGCUAUGGAAAGAAAAACAUUUCAUAUAAAAUUACAAGAGAAAUGGCAGAAUAAGAAACACAACAAAUACAAUGGAUGCUGUAAGGUUCAUUCUAAGAAAUAAAUGCAAGUUAGGUAGACAGACUUUGCUUUGAAAAGUCUGAAGCCAGCAUAUAUACAGCAGAGUACUAUAAAUUCCGAUAAAAGUACCAUUCUGUAAAUCUCUCCAAAACCAAAUGAAGCUAACCACACACCUAAAUUACCAGUCUCGUUGAACCCUAUGCUAAAUGCAUCACCGUCUGGUUUGGUAAUUUCAACUUCUAGGCUGGAUUUAAUUCUGUCAUCACUACAUAAUGUUCAAAAACGUAUAUAUUCUUCUCAAGAGAUCCGCCUUUUACCACAAUAAUAUAUCAAACAUAACGGCCGUGCACGAAAGCUAAGAAAAAAAAAAAGCACCCCGGACUGACACCCCAGAAAAAAGGAUACGCUUGAGACUGAGGAAAUAAAAACGGACUGGUGGGGAGGGGGAUAGGCUUAGAGAAACCCUUCAAUUACAAUUUUCGAACAUAAUUUUUUUCGUCUAAAGAAUCAAGUGUCAGUAACUUUGUAAUUAAGCCUAUUUUUUUUAUAACUAUUACUAUGAACAAUUGCCUAAAUAUUUUAAGCUAAUAGGUGAGGUUGAUCGAUGAUUUAAUUAUAUUGUAGAUUCUGCAGACGUAAGUAAAUAUAUUAAAGUUUUUGUAUUGUAGUUGGGGUUAUAUUUUUCUCUUGUACUGUUAUCAUACUUUGAAAGUUAACUACACUGGCAUUACUGUUGUAGAAAAAACUCACAACAUAAUGUUUAAGAACUGUACCUCAUUUACCAGUUUUAUUUAGU
Limulus polyphemus (Atlantic horseshoe crab) is the source of this 4511-nucleotide long non-coding RNA. RefSeq lists it as uncharacterized. The record is from RefSeq and is a predicted model, not a curated record. NCBI's taxonomy places the organism in Eukaryota, Metazoa, Arthropoda, Merostomata, Xiphosura, Limulidae. The transcript has 4 exons.